CAGGGAGACAAUAAAUUGAUUGUGAUGUCUAAGUUAUUUAUUCUUAGGCCGCAAUCCUGUCACCUUAAGGUCGAUCGGUACCUCAGAUUUUUGAAUUAGUUUUAUAAUUGAUUCUUUGAUUUCAGUUCCUAAACUUGUCUAGGUCACACCCAACAAAGGUUUCUCCUGGGCCAUUAGCUCAGGUGGUUAGAGCGCACCCCUGAUAAGGGUGAGGUCCCUGGUUCAAGUCCAGGAUGGCCCAUUCGUUGUUGGGGGUAUAGCUCAGUUGGUAGAGCGCCUGCUUUGCAAGCAGGAUGUCAGCGGUUCGAGUCCGCUUACCUCCACUGAAAACUAUCCUGAUAACUAAAUUUCUGGAGAAAAAAAUUGUAGAUGUGGCUUAGAAUUGUCUAUUUGAAAAGAACCUAGCUUCUUGUCAUCUUUUUAUAGUUGAUAAAAUGCUGGGCUCGCAUGGAUUUUUUCCAUGAGAAUUCAGUAGAACCUUGAAAACUGCAUAGAUUAGAAAGAAUAAAGCAUCUCAUGGAUGCAUAGUUCUGUUUUGUAAUUUAGCCUUAAAACUAAAUUAUUUAAUUCUAGAAUUCAUGUUUAAUUCUUGAGUAAUAGCCGAGCACAAUUGAUUUUGUGAUUGUAUUAAA
RNAcentral lists this transfer RNA (632 nucleotides) under uncultured Prochlorococcus sp. RNAcentral describes it as "partial 16S-23S ribosomal RNA intergenic spacer". The stretch from base 251 to 323 matches the Rfam family "tRNA". The record is from RNAcentral. Lineage: Bacteria; Bacillati; Cyanobacteriota; Cyanophyceae; Synechococcales; Prochlorococcaceae.